RNAcentral lists this long non-coding RNA (421 nucleotides) under Helianthus annuus (common sunflower). The record is from RNAcentral. Lineage: Eukaryota; Viridiplantae; Streptophyta; Magnoliopsida; Asterales; Asteraceae.
GGUUGCGAUCAUACCAGCACUAAUGCACCUGAUCCCAUUAGAACUCCGUAGUUAAGCGUGCUUGGGCGAGAGUAGUACUAGGAUGGGUGACCCCAUGGGAAGUUCUCGUGUUACAACCCCUUUUUUUCGUUUUUUGGUUUAUUUUAUUUACUAGUCGCUGUAUCUUUGGCGUAGCAUGCGAGCGGCCGAUUUUGUGAAAGAAAGGCUUUGACGAAGGCGCGCGCGCGCACAUGAAGGCAUAGGUACGAAUGGGAUCAAGGCGUGGAAAGGUAUAAAGGAAUAAGGAGAAGGAAUUCUUUCGGUUGCGAUCAUAACAACACUAAUACACCGGAUCCCAUCAGAACUCCGCAGUUAAGCAUUCUUGGGCGAUUGUAGUACUAGGAUGGGUGACCCCCUGGGAAGUUCUCGUGUUGCAACCUCG